UACGGAGGGGGCCAGCGUUGUUCGGAAUUAUUGGGCGUAAAGGGCGCGUAGGCGGCUAAGCAAGUCAAAGGUGAAAUCCCUCGGCUCAACCGAGGAACUGCCUCUGAAACUGCUUGGCUUGAGUCCCGGAGAGGGUAGUGGAAUUCCCAGUGUAGCGGUGAAAUGCGUAGAUACUGGGAGGAACACCGGUGGCGAAGGCGGCUACCUGGACGGGUACUGACGCUGAGGCGCGAAAGCGUGGGGAGCAAACAGGAUUAGAUACCCGCGUA
This 269-nucleotide ribosomal RNA is filed under the name uncultured prokaryote. RNAcentral's name for it is "partial 16S ribosomal RNA". It matches the Rfam family "Bacterial small subunit ribosomal RNA", at positions 524 to 792 of the family's 1533-position model. The record is from RNAcentral.